UGGGGAAUAUUGCGCAAUGGGCGAAAGCCUGACGCAGCGACGCCGCGUGAGGGAUGAAGGUUCUCGGAUCGUAAACCUCUGUCAGAAGGGAAGAAACCGCACUGUGCUAAUCAGCAGUGCCUUGACGGUACCUUCAAAGGAAGCACCGGCUAACUCCGUGCCAGCAGCCGCGGUAAUACGGAGGGUGCAAGCGUUAAUCGGAAUUACUGGGCGUAAAGCGCACGUAGGCUGCUUUGUAAGUCAGGGGUGAAAUCCCACGGCUCAACCGUGGAACUGCCUUUGAUACUGCUUAGCUUGAAUCCGGGAGAGGGUGGCGGAAUUCCAGGUGUAGGAGUGAAAUCCGUAGAUAUCUGGAGGAACAUCAGUGGCGAAGGCGGCCACCUGGACCGGUAUUGACGCUGAGGUGCGAAAGCGUGGGGAGCAAACAGG
RNAcentral lists this ribosomal RNA (429 nucleotides) under Fusobacteriota bacterium. Its description in RNAcentral is "Fusobacteria bacterium partial 16S ribosomal RNA". It matches the Rfam family "Bacterial small subunit ribosomal RNA", at positions 355 to 776 of the family's 1533-position model. The record is from RNAcentral. Lineage: Bacteria; Fusobacteriati; Fusobacteriota.